RNAcentral lists this ribosomal RNA (1333 nucleotides) under Leuconostoc carnosum. Its description in RNAcentral is "16S ribosomal RNA". It matches the Rfam family "Bacterial small subunit ribosomal RNA", at positions 100 to 1424 of the family's 1533-position model. Lineage: Bacteria; Bacillati; Bacillota; Bacilli; Lactobacillales; Lactobacillaceae. The record is from RNAcentral.
GAACGGGUGAGUNANNCGUGGAUNACCUGCCUCAAGGCUGGGGAUAACAUUUGGAAACAGAUGCUNAUACCGAAUNAAACUUAGUAUCGCAUGAUACCAGGUUAAAAGGCGCUACGGCGUCACCUNGAGAUGGAUCCGCNGUGCAUUAGUUAGUUGGUGGGGUAAAGGCCUACCAAGACAAUGAUGCAUAGCCGAGUUGAGAGACUNAUCGGCCACNUUGGGACUGAGANNCGGCCUNAACUCCUACGGGAGGCUGNNGUNGGGAAUCUUCCACNAUGGGCGAAAGCCUNAUGGAGCACGCCGCGUGUGUGAUGAAGGCUUUCGGGUCGUNAAGCNCUGUUGUAUGGGAAGAAAAGUUAAGGUAGGGAAUGACCUUAGCCUGACGGUACCAUACCAGAAAGGGACGGCUNAAUACGUGCCAGCAGCCGCGGUNAUACGUAUGUCCCNAGCGUUAUCCGGAUUUAUUGGGCGUNAAGCGAGCGCAGACGGUUGGUUAAGUCUNAUGUGAAAGCCCGGAGCUCAACUCCGGAAAGGCAUUGGAAACUGGUUAACUUGAGUGCAGUAGAGGUAAGUGGAACUCCAUGUGUAGCGGUGGAAUGCGUAGAUAUAUGGAAGAACACCAGCGGCGAAGGCGGCUUACUGGACUGUAACUGACGUUGAGGCUCGAAAGUGUGGGUAGCNAACAGGAUUAGAUACCCUGGUAGUCCACACCGUAAACGAUGAACACUAGGUGUUAGGAGGUUUCCGCCUCUUAGUGCCGAACUAACGCAUUNAGUGUUCCGCCUGGGGAGUACGACCGCAAGGUUGAAACUCAAAGGAAUUGACGGGGACCGCACAAGCGGUGGAGCAUGUGGUUUAAUUCGAAGCAACGCGAAGAACCUUACCAGGUCUUGACNUCCUUUGAAGCUNUUAGAAAUNGAAGUGUUCUCUUCGGAGACAAAGUGACAGGUGGNGCAUNGUCGUCGUCAGCUCGUGUCGUGAGAUGUUGGGUUNAGUCCCGCAACGAGCGCAACCCUUAUUGUUAGUUGCCAGCAUUNAGAUGGGCACUCUAGCGAGACUGCCGGUGACNAACCGGAGGAAGGCGGGGACGACGUCAGAUCAUCAUGCCCCUUAUGACCUGGGCUACACACGUGCUACAAUGGCGUAUACAACGAGUUGCCAACCUGCGAAGGUGAGCUAAUCUCUUAAAGUACGUCUCAGUUCGGACUGCAGUCUGCAACUCGACUNCACGAAGUCGGAAUCGCUAGUAAUCGCGGAUCAGCACGCCGCGGUCAAUACGUUCCCGGGUCUUGUACACACCGCCCGUCACACNAUGGAAGUUUGUAAUGCCCAA